GAUGAACGCUGGCGGCGUGCCUCAAACAUGCAAGUCGAGCGGGGCUAUGUAAUAUCGCAAGGUAGAACAUAGCCUAGCGGCGAACGGGUGAGUAACACGUGGGUAACCUGCCUGGAAGACAGGGAUAACGAUUCGAAAGGGUCGCUAAUACCUGAUAAUAUCCUUUCAUCGCAUGGUGAUAGGAAGAAAGGGGAAACCCGCUUUCAGAUGGGCCCGCGUCCCAUCAGCUAGUUGGUAAGGUAAAGGCUUACCAAGGCGACGACGGGUAGCCGGUCUGAGAGGAUGUACGGCCACACUGGGACUGAGAUACGGCCCAGACUCCUACGGGAGGCAGCAGUUGGGAAUCUUAGGCAAUGGACGAAAGUCUGACCUAGCGACGCCGCGUGAGGGAAGAAGGCCUUGGGUUGUAAACCUCUGUCAUGGGGGAAAAGUAAGUGACGGUACCCCAAGGAGGAAGCCCCUGCUAACUACGUGCCCAGCAGCCGCGGUAAAAGUACUCUAAU
This 503-nucleotide ribosomal RNA is filed under the name uncultured bacterium. RNAcentral's name for it is "bacterial SSU rRNA". It matches the Rfam family "Bacterial small subunit ribosomal RNA", at positions 28 to 530 of the family's 1533-position model. The record is from RNAcentral.